Molecule: ribosomal RNA, 253 nt
Filed under: uncultured bacterium
Lineage: Bacteria
Description: partial 16S ribosomal RNA
Rfam family: Bacterial small subunit ribosomal RNA
Source: RNAcentral
UACGUAGGGUGCGAGCGUUGCCCGGAUUCAUUGGGCGUAAAGAGCUCGUAGGCGGUUUGUUGCGUCUAUCGUGAAAACCUGCAGCUUAACUGUGGGCUUGCGGUGGAUACGGGCAGACUUGAGUUCGGUAGGGGAGACUGGAAUUCCUGGUGUAGCGGUGAAAUGCGCAGAUAUCAGGAGGAACACCGGUGGCGAAGGCGGGUCUCUGGGCCGAUACUGACGCUGAGGAGCGAAAGCGUGGGGAGCGAACAGG